CAGUCGCCACGGGAAUACGAAGGGUGCAAGCGUUACUCGGAAUUACUGGGCGUAAAGCGUGCGUAGGUGGUGGUUUAAGUCCGUUGUGAAAGCCCUGGGCUCAACCUGGGAAUUGCAGUGGAUACUGGAUCACUAGAGUGUGGUAGAGGAUGGUGGAAUUUCCGGUGUAGCAGUGAAAUGCGUAGAGAUCGGAAGGAACAUCUGUGGCGAAGGCGACUAUCUGGGCCAACACUGACACUGAUGCACGAAAGCGUGGGGAGCAAACAGGAUUAGAUACCCCUGUAGUCCCUGUCUCUUAUAA
This 301-nucleotide ribosomal RNA is filed under the name uncultured bacterium. RNAcentral's name for it is "partial 16S ribosomal RNA". It matches the Rfam family "Bacterial small subunit ribosomal RNA", at positions 509 to 809 of the family's 1533-position model. The record is from RNAcentral.